RNAcentral lists this transfer RNA (61 nucleotides) under Balala lui. Its description in RNAcentral is "tRNA-Cys". The record is from RNAcentral. Lineage: Eukaryota; Metazoa; Arthropoda; Insecta; Hemiptera; Cicadellidae.
GGUCUUUUAGUUUAAUAAAAAAUUUUAAAUUGCAAAUUUAAAGAUACUUAAGUCAAGACUU